UACGUGAACUACGUGACCAUUUGUAUGUUCCGUAUUGUCAAUUGUAACGUAAUAUUCAACUGACAACUGAUAAGGCAAUAUAGUGAUUAUUGGAAUAAUCAAACCGCUCAUGUAGCGAGAUCCGGAAGCGCCGACUGCUAGGGGAGGAGAGUGGACGACUGUACAUAGAGAUAUCAGCGCAAACGUCUUUGAAAGACGGUUGUGGAGAAACAAUGUGAGGUACAGCGCUAACUGCUAUGGAAGGUUGAGUGGUUACGUAUGUGGUCGAAUGUCUAGCUAGUGUAGUCCGGGGGACAGAAUCGAAAAGUUCGGAUGUUGUGAUAGCAUGCUGCUAAAAUUGCUUUGGUUGGCUCAGCAUUGUAAUUCGUUGGUAUUGCUAGGUAGCAAGCUAACUGUAUGCCAAUAGCAGCGAAGUAAACUAGCUAUCUAGAUUACAUUAAAUUCGACUGCAUUGUGGCUAGCGCUCUCUCGCUAACAUCAUCUAGCUAGCCAAUCUCAACUCAGGUCUAUCGUAAAUCAUGUUGUUUAGUUAGCGUGGCUAGUUAGCUGUUUUAGAUACUGACCAGGCCACUUCGUGUUUCUAGUUAAACGAAUUAGGUAGUUAACCAGUUAUCGCAAACAAGGGGCUCAAUAACUCAACUUUUCCCACAUUACGUUACAGCCUUAUUCUAAACGUUUUUUUUUUUUUUUUUUAUCCUAAACAAUCUACACACACUACCCCAUAAUGACAACGCGAAAAUAGUUCACAUUUUUGCAAAAAGUAUUUACACCAUUUGCUUUGAGACUCGAAAUUGAGCCCAGGUGCGUCCUGUUUCCACAACUUAAUUGGAGUCCACCUGUGGUAAAUUCAGUUGAUUGGACAUGAUUUGGAAAGGCACACACCUUUCAAUAUAAGGUCCCACAAGUUGACAGUGCAUGUCAGAGCAAAAACCAAUCCAUGAGGUCAAAGGAAUUGUCUGUAGAGCUCAGAGACAGGAUUGUGUCGAGGCACAGGUCAGGGGAAGGGUACCAAAAAAUGUCUUCAACAUUGAAGGUCCCCAAGAACAGUGGCCUCCGUCAUUCUUAAAUUUAAGACGUUUGGAACCAUCAAGACUCUUCCUAGAGCUGGCUGCCCGGCCAAACUAAGUAAUCGGGGGAGAAGGGCCUUGGUCGGGGAGGUGACCAAGAACCCGAUGGUCACUCUGACAGAGCUACAGACUUCCUCUGUGGAGAUGGGAGAGCCUUACUGAAGGACCACCAUCUGUAAAGCACUCCACCAAUCAGGUCUUAAUGGUAGAGUGGCCAGACGGGAAGCCACUCCUCAGUAAAAGGCACAUGACCGCUGGCUUGGAGGCUGCCAAAAGGCACCUCAAGACUCAGACCAUGUGGAACAAGAUUCUCUUGUCUGAAGAAACCAAUAAACUAUUUUUGCCUGACUGCCAAGUGUCACAUCUGGAGGAAACCUGUCACCAUCCCUACGGUGAAGCAUGUUGGUGGCAACAGCUUGCUGUGGGGAUGUUUUACAGCGGCAGGGACUGGGAGACAAGUCAGGGUCGAGGGAAAGAUUUAAUGGCGCGAAGUACAGAGUUCAUUGAUGAAAGCCUGCUCAGGACGUCAGACUGGGGUGAAGGUGCACCUUCUAACAGGACAACGACCCUAAGUCACAGCCAAGACAGAAGAAUGGGAUAAAAUCCCCAAAUACAGGUGUACCAAGCUUGUCGCGUCAUACCCAGGAUGGCUCAAGGCUGUCAACGCUGCCAAAGGUGCUAAAACAAACUACAGAGUAAAGGUGUGGUGGACCGUUGUGAUGACACUGUAGACAUGUCACCUGUGCACCAGGUAGUCAAUAGAAACUGUCUCUAUGGUGACACGGGCUGGAGAACAUCCUGCUGAUGCUGCAGACAGGUCUGAGGGACAACCAGACCUCACAGGACAAACCCUCACAGCCAAGGUGAGCACUACAAUAGGCCAGGGUAACAGGACAGGAAGGUGAAUAUCUUAAGGGAGAAAAAAAGUGGGGGGAAUCCUUUUUGGUGCUAGGCAGAACCCUUUGAAAAUGGUUCUACCUAGAACCCUCUAUGUAGGGUUCGUCAUAUAAGCCUCUGUAUAUGGUUCUAUGAAGGGAUUUACUGAGAACCAUUUGAUCUUUGGAGGGUUCUUCCUAGAACCACCUAUGAACGGUUCCACCAGCCUUAUUAUCCUUUAUUAACAUUUUAUUUCUUUGACAAUAAGUCCAACUACUAACAGAUUGGAUUAGUUUAGAAAAAUGGGUUCUUUGUGUAGCAUAAAAUGUAUCAACUAAUCAGUGUACAUGUAAAAAUAGAUUAAAACAAACAAUUCUGAAAGUCACCCUGCAAUAGAGCAUGCUGGUGAUAUGGUUUUAUGUAGGACACUUUUUGCCUUUCAAAAUAACCCUUUCUUCCAGAAAGUGUGCUUCAGAUCAAAACGGUUCAUUUUGCUAGCCUGAUCCCAGAUCCGUUUAUGCUGUUUUGUCAAGUCCUACUGUAUAAUUGUCAUGCCAUGUUACCAUAGUAGUUGGCUAUCUGGCACAAAUACAGUUGAUUCGUAUUCAGACCCCUUGACUUUUUCCAUAUUUUGUUGCGUUACAUCCUUAUUCGAAUAUUGAUUAUAGUUUUUUUCCCUCAUCAAUCUACACAAUGACAAAGCAAAAACUUUUUUUAUUUUUUUUUUGUGCAAUUUUUUUAAUGUAUUUACAUAAGUAUACAGACCCUUUACUCAGUAUUUUGUUGAAGCACCUUUGGCAGCGAUUACAGCCUCGGUCUUUCUUGUGUAUGACGCUACACGCUUGGCACACCUGUAUUUGGGGAGUUUCUUGCAUCCUUCUCUGCAGAUCCUCUCAAGCUGUCUGGUUGGAUGGGAAGCGGGUCUCUCGGAGAUGUUUGAUUGGGUUCAAGUCCGGGCUCUGGCUGGGCCACUCAAGGCCGUUGAGACUUGUCCCGAAGCCACUCCUGCGUUGUCUUGGCUGUGUGCCUAGGUCGUUGUCCUGUUGUAAGGUGAACCUUCGCCCCAGUCGGAGGUCAUGAGUGCUCUGGAGCAGGUUUUCAUCAUCGAUCUUGUUUCUCAUUGUCUGAGUCCUUCAGAUGCUUUUUGGCAAACCCCAAGCGGGCUGUCAUGUGGUUUUAACUGAGUGAUUUCCGCCUGGCCACUCCACCAUAAAGGCCUGAUUGGUGGAGUGCUGCAGAGAUGUUUGUCCUUCAGUAAGGCUCUCCCAUCUCCGCAGAGGAACUCUGAAGCUCUGUCAGUGACCAUCAGGUUCUUGGUCACCUCCCUGACCAAGACCCUUCUACCCUGAUUCCUCAGUUUGGCCCGGGUGGACAGCUCUAAUAGUAUAGGUGGUUUAAAACGUCUUCCAUUUAAAAAUGAUGGAGGCCACUGUGUUCUUGGGGAUCUUCAAUGCUGCAGAAGUGUUUUGGUACCCUUCCCCAGAUCUGUGCCUCGACACAAUCCCGUCUCUGAGCUCUACAGACAAUUCCUUCGACCUGAUUGCUUGUUUUUUGCUCUGACAUGCACUGUCAACUGUGGGACCUUAUAUAGACAGGUGGGUGCCUUUCCAAAUCAUGUCCAAUCAAUUUAAUUUACCACAGGUGGACUCCAAUCAGGUUGUAGAAACAUCUCAAGGAUCAUCAAUGGAAAUAGGAUAUGCCUGAGCUAAAUUGAGGCUCAUAACAAAGUGUCUGAAUACUUAUAUAAAUACUUUAUCUGUUUAAGGUUAUUAUACAUUUGCAAAAAAUUCUGAACCUGUUUUUGUUUUGUCAUUAUGGGGUAUUGUGUGUGUGUGUAGAUUAUUUUCUCUCAAUUUAAUCAAUUUUAGAAUAAGGCUGUACCAUAACAAUGUGGGUAAGGGGCCUGAAUACUUUCUAACUGCAGUGUAUAUAAAUCAAAUGAAAUUGUAUCGGUCACACACACAUUUAGCAGAUUUUGUUGCAAAAUGCUUGUUCCUAGCUCCAACAGUGCAGUAGUAUCUAAAAACGAUUCACAACAAUGCCCAAUCUAAAAAUGGAAGAAUGACAUUAAGAAAUAUAUAAAUAUUAGAUUGAGAAAUGUCGGAGUGGCAUUGACUAAAAUACAUUAGACUAGAAUACAGUAUAUACAUGAGCUGAGUAAAGCAGUAUGUGAACAUUAUUCAAGUGACCAGUGAUUCUAUGUAUAUAGAGGGUGUUCCCUUUAUCCCAUACAUCCUGCAUGUUGAUUCAUGGCCUUGGCAAUGUAAACACUGAAAUAAUGUUUGGCUUUUAAAUUCCUUCUGUUCUGACUCUUCAUGUGAAAGGCUAUAGGCCUAAUGGAAUGGAUGAACAGCCAUGUAAAUGCCUAUUAUUAUUAUUAUUAAAUGCCUUAUUCUUAUCACGUCAUUCCAAAUCCAUUUUGAUUUCAAUAUCCCUGAGAUGAAUGUUGUAUAAUGUUAUGGUUCUUACAGCAAUUUAACUUGCACUUUGUUUUCAGGUUUGAAUGACAGUGUAUUCCCCUCAACUUAUUUCAAUAAAGUUGUUACUUGUUUUAUA
This is a long non-coding RNA of Salvelinus fontinalis (brook trout), 4499 nucleotides long. RefSeq lists it as uncharacterized. The transcript has 2 exons. The record is from RefSeq and is a predicted model, not a curated record. NCBI's taxonomy places the organism in Eukaryota, Metazoa, Chordata, Actinopteri, Salmoniformes, Salmonidae.